This 253-nucleotide ribosomal RNA is filed under the name uncultured bacterium. RNAcentral describes it as "partial 16S ribosomal RNA". It matches the Rfam family "Bacterial small subunit ribosomal RNA", at positions 524 to 776 of the family's 1533-position model. The record is from RNAcentral.
UACGAAGGGGGCUAGCGUUGUUCGGAAUUACUGGGCGUAAAGCGUGCGCAGGCAGCUUCUCAAGUCAGGGGUGAAAGCCCAGAGCUUAACUCUGGAAUUGCCUUUGAGACUGAGAGGCUUGAGUACGGGAGAGGUGAGUGGAAUUCCCAGUGUAGAGGUGAAAUUCGUAGAUAUUGGGAAGAACACCGGUGGCGAAGGCGGCUCACUGGCCCGUAACUGACGCUCAUGCACGACAGCGUGGGGAUCAAACAGG